GGGGAGCUUCAGCGCCAAAACGGUGCCGUUUUGAAGCGACCCAAGAUCCGACCCAUUGGACCUCAAGGAUCCGCGUGUUUUUGGACCAAGGGUCUAUUUGCGACCCUGGUCCUUUGCAUUUAUUUUCUUUUAAAUUUACUCAUUUUUGUUUUCUUUUAAUUUAGCCCCAAAAUUUUGUUUGUUUUUUUGAUCUCGUCCCUGGCUCACUGAUGCACUAAAACGAUGGACAUGUGUCCGAAUUUGGGUUUUAUUCCCAUUUUGGUCCUCGUUAGUUGUUGCGCUUUUCAUUUUGGUCUUUUACUUGUUUACUUUAUUUUAAUUUAUCCUUUAAAUUUGGUUUGGAUUACGAUUAAGUCCCUAAAUCAG
RNAcentral lists this long non-coding RNA (366 nucleotides) under Gossypium raimondii (Peruvian cotton). RNAcentral's name for it is "long non-coding RNA (GRAI_LNC006273)". Lineage: Eukaryota; Viridiplantae; Streptophyta; Magnoliopsida; Malvales; Malvaceae. The record is from RNAcentral.